This 254-nucleotide ribosomal RNA is filed under the name uncultured bacterium. RNAcentral describes it as "partial 16S ribosomal RNA". It matches the Rfam family "Bacterial small subunit ribosomal RNA", at positions 524 to 776 of the family's 1533-position model. The record is from RNAcentral.
CACGUAGGGGGCGAGCGUUGUCCGGAUUUAUUGGGCGUAAAGAGCUCGUAGGCGGCUAAGUAAGUCAGGUGUGAAAACUCCAGGCUCAACCUGGAGACGCCACCUGAUACUGCUUUGGCUAGAGUCCGGUAGGGGAGCAUGGAAUUCCUGGUGUAGCGGUGAAAUGCGCAGAUAUCAGGAGGAACACCGGUGGCGAAGGCGGCAUCCUGGACCGGCAUUGACGCUGAGGCGCGAAAGCCAGGGGAGCAAACGGG